Long non-coding RNA from Gracilinanus agilis (Agile Gracile Mouse Opossum), 327 nucleotides. RefSeq lists it as uncharacterized. The record is from RefSeq and is a predicted model, not a curated record. The transcript is spliced from 3 exons. Lineage: Eukaryota; Metazoa; Chordata; Mammalia; Didelphimorphia; Didelphidae.
UCUAGUUGUUUACUUUGUGGUCGGUGGCGUGGGGAACUGUGGACGUUGAGCAGCCAGAAGAUAGGCGGGCGAUCCUUUUAAAGCUCUUUUUUCCUUCAGGGAGAGAGUUGUGUGGCCUCUUUCAGAGCCUUUCCUUGGCCAGUGUCUGCCCAAAGUACCGGGGCCUGACAGAGCAAGUAAUCUAAAAAAAUGAAGCCUCAAGAAAGAUUUAUUAUGAAAAAAAUCUCCAAGAGAAGAGAAGAUAUGAAAAAAAAGAUAUCUGAAGAAACAGAACAUAUUGCAGAUGAUGAAACUGCCGACCAGAAUCUGCUAAAAGGUAAUUGCUCC